GCCGGGAGUGGUAGCCCAUGCCUGUAAUCCCAGCAGCUUGGGAGGCUGAGGCAGGAGGUUGUGAGUUCAAAGCCAGCCUCAG
Molecule: small RNA, 82 nt
Filed under: Marmota monax (woodchuck)
Lineage: Eukaryota; Metazoa; Chordata; Mammalia; Rodentia; Sciuridae
Source: RNAcentral